Molecule: ribosomal RNA, 404 nt
Filed under: uncultured bacterium
Lineage: Bacteria
Description: bacterial SSU rRNA
Rfam family: Bacterial small subunit ribosomal RNA
Source: RNAcentral
UGGGGAAUAUUGCACAAUGGGCGAAAGCCUGAUGCAGCAAUACCGCGUGUGUGAAGAAGGCCUGCGGGUUGUAAAGCACUUUCAGUAGGAAAGAUAAUGACGGUACCUACAGAAGAAGCACCGGCUAACUCCGUGCCAGCAGCCGCGGUAAUACGGAGGGUGCGAGCGUUAAUCGGAAUUACUGGGCGUAAAGCGCGCGUAGGCGGCUUAUUAAGUCGGAUGUGAAAUCCCUGGGCUCAACCUAGGAACUGCAUCCGAUACUGAUAGGCUAGAGUAUGGAAGAGGGAAGCGGAAUUCCGGGUGUAGCGGUGAAAUGCGUAGAGAUCCGGAGGAACAUCAGUGGCGAAGGCGGCUUCCUGGUCCAAUACUGACGCUGAGGUGCGAAAGCGUGGGGAGCAAACAGG